Molecule: non-coding RNA, 72 nt
Organism: Stegodyphus mimosarum
Lineage: Eukaryota; Metazoa; Arthropoda; Arachnida; Araneae; Eresidae
Source: Rfam
GCCUUCGUGGUGUAAUGGUCAGCACACUGAGCGGUAUUACAGAGGUCCGCGGUUCGAUCCCCGGCGAAAGCA